This 253-nucleotide ribosomal RNA is filed under the name uncultured bacterium. Its description in RNAcentral is "partial 16S ribosomal RNA". It matches the Rfam family "Bacterial small subunit ribosomal RNA", at positions 524 to 776 of the family's 1533-position model. The record is from RNAcentral.
UACAGAGGCCCCAAGCAUUACCCGGAAUCACUGGGCGUAAAGGGUGUCUAGGCGGCCAUAUUAGUCUCUCGUUAAAUCUGUGGGCUCAACCUGCAGUCUGCGAGGGAAACGGUAUGGCUCGAGGGCGUGAGAGGUGCACGGAACUCAUGGUGGAGGGGUGAAAUCCGUUGAUAUCAUGGGGAACACCAAAGGCGAAGGCAGUGCACUGGUACGUUCCUGACGCUCAAACACGAAAGCCAGGGUAGCGAACGGG